This 403-nucleotide ribosomal RNA is filed under the name uncultured Eubacteriales bacterium. RNAcentral describes it as "bacterial SSU rRNA". It matches the Rfam family "Bacterial small subunit ribosomal RNA", at positions 356 to 774 of the family's 1533-position model. Lineage: Bacteria; Bacillati; Bacillota; Clostridia; Eubacteriales. The record is from RNAcentral.
GGGGAAUAUUGCACAAUGGAGGAAACUCUGAUGCAGCGACGCCGCGUGAGUGAAGAAGGUCUUCGGAUCGUAAAACUCUGUCCUUGGUGACGAAAAAAUGACGGUAGCCAAGGAGGAAGCCCCGGCUAACUACGUGCCAGCAGCCGCGGUAAUACGUAGGGGACAAGCGUUGUCCGGAUUUACUGGGCGUAAAGGGCACGCAGGCGGUUUUUUAAGUCAGAUGUGAAAGGUACCGGCUCAACCGGUGACAUGCAUUUGAAACUGGGAAACUUGAGUGCAGGAGAGGAAAGUGGAAUUCCUAGUGUAGCGGUGAAAUGCGUAGAUAUUAGGAGGAACACCAGUAGCGAAGGCGGCUUUCUGGACUGUAACUGACACUGAGGCACGAAAGCGUGGGGAGCAAACA